RNAcentral lists this ribosomal RNA (468 nucleotides) under uncultured bacterium. Its description in RNAcentral is "partial 16S ribosomal RNA". It matches the Rfam family "Bacterial small subunit ribosomal RNA", at positions 28 to 507 of the family's 1533-position model. The record is from RNAcentral.
GACGAACGCUGGCGGCGUGCUUAACACAUGCAAGUCGAACGGAAAGACCCUGCUUUUGUGGGGUGCUCGAGUGGCGAACGGGUGAGUAACACGUGAGUAACCUGCCCUUGACUUUGGGAUAACUUCAGGAAACUGGGGCUAAUACCGGAUAGGAGCUCCUGCUGCAUGGUGGGGGUUGGAAAGUUUCGGCGGUUGGGGAUGGACUCGCGGCUUAUCAGCUUGUUGGUGGGGUAGUGGCUUACCAAGGCUUUGACGGGUAGCCGGCCUGAGAGGGUGACCGGCCACAUUGGGACUGAGAUACGGCCCAGACUCCUACGGGAAGCAGCAGUGGGGAAUAUUGCACAAUGGGCGGAAGCCUGAUGCAGCAACGCCGCGUGCGGGAUGACGGCCUUCGGGUUGUAAACCGCUUUCGCCUGUGACGAAGCGUGAGUGACGGUAAUGGGUAAAGAAGCACCGGCUAACUACGUG